This 421-nucleotide ribosomal RNA is filed under the name uncultured bacterium. RNAcentral describes it as "bacterial SSU rRNA". It matches the Rfam family "Bacterial small subunit ribosomal RNA", at positions 355 to 773 of the family's 1533-position model. The record is from RNAcentral.
UAAGGAAUAUUGGUCAAUGGACGCAAGUCUGAACCAGCCAUGCCGCGUGGAGGAUGAAGGUCCUCUGGAUUGUAAACUUCUUUUAUUUGGGACGAAAACUGGGUAUUCUUACUCACUUGACGGUACCAGAUGAAUAAGCACCGGCUAACUCCGUGCCAGCAGCCGCGGUAAUACGGAGGGUGCAAGCGUUAUCCGGAUUCACUGGGUUUAAAGGGUGCGUAGGCGGGUAGGUAAGUCAGUGGUGAAAUCUUUGGGCUUAACCCGAAAACUGCCAUUGAUACUAUUUAUCUUGAAUAUUGUGGAGGCUAGCGGAAUAUGUCAUGUAGCGGUGAAAUGCUUAGAGAUGACAUAGAACACCUAUUGCGAAGGCAGCUGGCUACGCAUAUAUUGACGCUGAGGCACGAAAGCGUGGGGAUCAAAC